AGUGGGACGCGCUUGGGGGUGCUCUCGGCGUGCGUUGCAGACCGUCGACGUGCGAUGCUCCCCGUGCUUCAGUGGUAGGGGGUUAAUCGCCUGUGGAAAUCCUUCCUACAUCGCCUCAUGUAGUUAGCACGUUUGUUUGAGCGGUUUUUUCCUCUUUUUCCUAAGAGAUGGGGAAAGGCGGCACAGGAUGCUUGCCUGUAUUUGAAUGCCUGGGAAUAGAACUUCUUUUAUUCUGGAGAGCAGAUAAGAAAGCGAAAAUGACAUAACGUGCUCACUAGGAAGGAAGCAGGCUGUCGAGGUCCCAUGACAGAACGUGGUUCUCCUCCUGUAGCUUCUCUCCCGGGUCAUGCGGUCCAGGACUGGGGAUGGCGGGAAGGCCAGAGCGUUUAGGGAUCUCUACAACCGUCUGAGAAGGUUCUGAAUGACCUUGGCCUGUCUCACUGAAUUAUGAAUCAUGGAAAUUUGGAUUCUUGACGUUCAAAGGUGGGAGAGUUUUCUGUGUUUGCAAAGGGAAGUGGAGGAUAGAUUUUUGUAGGACCGUGUAACGUUUUAACAUUUGUUGAUGUACUAGCACCAUUAGAAGCUGUUUCAACCUCGUGACUUGAGAGUUUAGUAAAACCUCUCCAAUUCGUUCAGCUCUGAUUCGGGAGAAUUUGAUGAUGACCGUCUCUUAGUGCUCUAUUAGGUCUCCUCUUUCCCACUUUCUUCAUGACAUCCUGGUAUCGGGGUGUAGAGCUCUCAGGGAUCCAUGGUAAAAAUGAGUGGCAACCAUUGGGGAGUGGACUCCCAUUGACAAGCAUCGGCUCUCCUCACCCUGACCAGUGUAGCAAGCAGCCAACCCUCCUUUAAUUUAGCACGUCAUCUACCUGGCAGGGCGCGAAGGGAGAUCCGCGGUUCUACUGAUCUUACCCCGACAUGGGUGAAUUCAUGAGCCAUCGUUUUAUUGCCACCUGCUGUCAGUUGUGUAGGCACAAUUCUGCGCCUCAGUCCUCGCUGGACGCCCACAUUUGCAUUGCAGUUGGAGACUUUGCAGGAAAGUCUUUGCUUUAGGGGCCCUUGUGCAAACGGGUCCAGACUAGUGCUUGGAUAUGCACCCACAGGGGGUUGCACUGGGAGCGCUGGGAAGAAAGGCAGGCAGAUCUUGCAUCACCAGGCACUGUUUGCAUCUGCGUCUCCCUGUGUGCGCCCUCCCCCAGCCCCCCACCCCACCUCCCCAAGCCUGAGGGAGGCUGCAGGGCUGGAGGCGGUGCUGGCCUGCAGAGACAGGCCUGAGCUCUGUGGCUUGAUGCUUGUCCUUCACAGCCCUUCCAACCCCAGAACCUCAUAGUGGUUUCUUGUCUGCACAUGCUGACCAGCUCUAGAGAAAUUCUGCCUGGAGAAAUAAAACUAUAGCUUGGUUGACAUCAACGGCAAUCAGUCGCUGGUAGAAAAACAUCAUUGAAAUGGGAACUUUUAUGUCUUAUCUUGGCUUCAUUAAAACGCUAUAUACCAUUGGAAAAAGGCAGCAUUUUACACAUUUCAAUAUUAAGUUCUGAAGCAGGCAAGAAUAUAGGCAAUACACAAGGAUGUUUGUUGUAGCCCAGAGGUUUAUGAGGUGGCAGGCUGUCAGAAUGGUCUGCUCUCAGUCUUAAGGCAUCUUGUGCUUCUACAUCUGCUGUUUUUCACACCAGCUACGGUAGAGUCCUUCCUCCAAACCAGACCAGUGGUUCCAGCUCUGCAGACAUGUGGGUGCAACGUAAGCCAGCCUCACUCCCCACCCUCACUUAAAUGUCUUUUGAAAUUUGCCAGCUUGGGACGAAGCUCCUGUCUUUGCUGGAACAUGAAUUUUGAAGGUGCUUAUUUCAGGUCCUUAUGCUUGCCUGGCUAUGAGUAACCAAAGCCUUGAGCUGCAGAGGUCAUGUUGAGAAAGGGCUCAGUCAAGUGAUGAAGAAACAAAAGUGAUGGUUUUCUAGAUUAAACCUGUGAGCUCCUCCUUUCCUCCUUCCAUCUCAUGAGGUGCUUUCAGGAUGGACAGAAUCUUCCUUAUUAGAAUAAUCAUUUCUUAACCUCAUAAAGAACCAUCAAAGCAUGCUUUUUAAUGAAAUAUUAACUCACCACUGUUUGAAACAGGCUUCGACAUACAUAUAUAAACAUGUGACUAUCUUUUUGCAAACAUACCAUUUAUUUCAUGCUUUUAUCUGAUUGUGGAGAAGUAUUGACACAGCUCUUGGAAUAGUUAAUUACACUCUACGGGAGUACAUUGCACAAAUACAAGCAUGAAUUACAGGCAAGAUAUAAAGUAUAAUUAUACAUAGGUAUAGUUCAAAUUUGUUUUCUGCUGUCGCUAGUGAAAAUUCACUUUACUCUUUCUUGGCCACAAGGACCAUGAUGAACACUUAGUUUUAAUGAGUAACUCGAGCACUGAAGCCAAUAACACUAGAACAUUUAUUUCAAGAUAAUUUUCUUAUACAGACGUUUACUUAUUUGGGACAUUUGCAGCAAAAGCCAUUUCUCUCGGGAACAGAUAGAAAUUCACUUUGUUCCUGGAGGUUUUGAGAAAGAGGGAGCCAAAAAUAGAGAAAAAAAAAAAACACAACUUAUUUCAAAAUUUUGAAUAUGUUUUAUCUGAUAGUUCCACUUCUCAGAAUUUACAUAUUAUUCCUUAUAAUUAGAGAAUUGAACAAAGAUUUAUGUACAAAGGUUAUGCUCAUGGUUUUACUUAUGAUUGUGAAAAUUAGGACCAAAAUAAGCAUUUUGGAAAAAUGAAUAAUGUACAUGAAAAUCAUGCUAUUAAUGAAUGAUUAAUCACAUGGAAAUGCACAAAGUAUGAGUGAAAAGAGCAGAUCAAAUAACAGCUUGUAUGUCACAAUCCAAAUUAUGUUUUUUAAUAGGUAUAGAAAAAUACUGAAUAGCUAAAAUAUUAAGAAUGGUAUUUCUGGUGGGUAAAAUUAUGAGCAAUUAUUGUUUUCCUUUUUAUACUUUUCUUUCAUUUAUUUGAGUAUUAUUUAUUGUGUUUUUCUUUUCAUCUUUAUUGGCGUAUAAUUGCUUUACAAUGGUGUGUUAGUUUCUGCUGUACAACAAAGUGAAUCAGCUAUAUGUAUACGUAUAUUCCCAUAUCCCCUCCCUCUUGAGCCUCCCUCCCACCCUCCCUAUCCCACCCCUCUAGGUGGUCGCAAAGUGCCCAGCUGAUCUCCCUGUGCUAUGCGGCUGCUUCCCACUAGCUACCUAUUUUACAUUUGGUAGUGUAGAUCUGUCAGUGCUACUCUCUCACUUCGUCCCAGCUUCCCUUUCCCUGCUCUGUGUCCCCAAGUCCCUUCUCUAUGUCUGCAUUUUUAUUCCUGUCCUGCCACUAGGUUCAUCAGUGCCGGUUUUUUAGAUUCUAUAUAUGUGCUUUAGCAUACGCUAUUUGUUUUUCUCUUUCUGACUCACUUCACUCUGUAUGACAGACUCUAGGUCCAUCCACCUCAUUACAAAUAACCCAGUUUCGUUCCUUUUUAUGGCUGAGUAGUAUUCCACUGUAUAUAUGUGCCACAUAUUAUUUAUCCAUUCCUCUGUUGAUGGACAUUUAGGUUGCUUCCAUGUCCUGGCUGUUGUAAAUAGUGCUGCAGUGAACAUUGUGGUACAUGUAUCUUUUUGAGCAAUCCUCUUUACACUUCACUUAGUUUUUUAAUGUUUCAUCAUACAUGUAUGUUUAAUUCUACCACUAGGAAAAAAAUGUUUUUAAGGAAGGAAAAUACCCUAUAUUUUAAAUGUUUACAUUCUACUGAUUUUUUUUCAAAAAAUCCUUAGUUAUCCAAUUUGCCAGUAGGAUGGAGGUGACAUCAUUACUUUCUAUUCAUUUACAUAUAUGAGUUGUGAAUCCCUGCUCUAGGAGAUAGUUCAAACCCCUUCUCCCCACACUUCACUCUCUUUUCCUUUCUCUCUCCACAUCGCCUGUCGUUCCUUACAAUCUUCUCUUAAUUCAUAUGAAAAUCAGCUAAAAUAGUGACAAUGAAAAUAUUAAUAAAAUUUCCACCAUUAUAAGCUUUCAACUCUUCUCUGAGUUAUGCUCUUGUUAUUAUUUCUUUGAUCAUUUCUCCCUUCCCUUUUCUUGUUUUCCACUUUCUAGAACUUCUCUUCAUCAUGUAUUGGACCUUGUGAAUUGCUCUCUAAUUUUUAAAAUAUGUGUUUCUGUGGUGAAAUAACCAGAACUUACUUUGGUUUGUGUCUAUUAUCUUUUCCUGAUCUUGUUUCUCAAAGACAGGACCUCUCUCCCUCUGUCUGUCUGUCUGUCUCUCUCUCUCUCUCUCUCUGUUUUUACUAAUUUUUGUAUAGUACAGAACGCCGUGUCUUAAACAUAAGGAUGUUUCAUUUGACGGCAAUGAUCAAAGUUUGGACCAAAAAUAUGCUCACAGUUGAUUAUCAGCUCCAAUGGGGAGAGCGUUAGCACAGAUAACACAGAGCUGCCAUUGAGAUCAAAUAGAAGAACUGGAAAGGCAAGUCUAAAAACAAUCCUUUGAUAGUAGGUGGUUAUCUUGAACCAGUGGAACAACAAUGAGAUUGCUGGGAUGGCAAACUCUGUCUCUGUGUCCCACAAGUGAAAAAACAAUGGAGCAACUAUGAAAGAAGUAAAGCAAAAGCAAAUAACUACUUUCUGGUCAAGGAAGGGUAUAGGGAUACCCAGAGCCCAAGAAUAAUUCCUACGGGGAAGAGUGGAAAGUGAAUGAUUUCCAAAAUGUGAUGUUAAUUUUUACUAGUUGCAAUGAUAGGACUAGAUAAAUCAUGGACACUUUGCUACUUUAUUCUUCAUAUGUGUGUUUUCUGUGUGUGGCUGGGUCUAUCAUAAUGAGUCCCUAUAUGCUUAUAUUUUACAGAAUGUUUUCCCCUUUCAAUUUUAUUUGACCAAAAUCUGUUGGGUCUCCUGUGAGGUAUAUUAUCAUAAGCUUUGGAGCCAUGAAAAUCUCCGCGGAAGGACCAGAGCUCCAGCAUUCACAGACAUCAUGGAAAUCUCUUUGAAGAUACAUUUUUCUUAACCUUAAAAACUUGGUGCCUCUUUGUUUAGUUUUUGUAAAUUCUGUAUUGUUUGUUUUAUCCAAAUAAUACACGACCUAGUUCAGAAAAUCAAAUAGUACUAUAAGGCUUAUCAUGGGAAGCAGCAGCCCCCCGCUUCCUCCCCUCCAUUCUAAUUUCUGCUUCCCAAAGGCAGUUGCUUCAGUUCAUGAAGUUGUUUUCUCUUAUUUAUCUCCAUAAACUGCUGUUCCUCAGUAUUUCAAUUGUUCGAUUCUAUAAAAGACGAGGAUUUAACUCACUCACACUGCCUCCUCACAAACAGCCCCCUCCACACACCGCCUCUCUUUUUCUCUUCGCAUACUCUCAGUAGAACUCUGUAUCACAAAUUAUGAUUUUGAAGGUAUUGCAUAUUUACAUGGCUGACUUUUGCAUAGUGCCUCACAGUUUAGCUACGUAGUAUACUAUGGUUAUAUUUCCUUUCUUGUAUAACCUUCUGUUUUCCCUGGAAUUUAUAACUGCCUCUUUUUUUUUUUUUUUUUUUGCAUUACGCGGGCCUCUCACUGUUGUGGCCUCUCCCAUUGCGGAGCACAGGCUCCAGACGUGCAGGCCCAGUGGCCAUGACUCACGGGCCCAGCCGCUCCGCGGCAUGUGGGGUCUUCCCGGACCGGGGCAUGAACCCAUGUCCCCAUGCCUCAGCAGGCAGACUCUCAACCACUGUGCCACCAGGGAAGCCCUAACUGCCUCUUUUUUUAAUUGAUGUUAUCUCUGUACCUACUUUCAGUCUAUCCUCAACCCUUCUGACCGUUGACAACUUUCACUAUGAUCAAGUACAUCAAAUAUUCUAUUUUUUAUUAUUUUCUUUUUUUCUCUCUCUCCCUCUUUCUCUCCUUCCCUCCCUCUCCUCCCACCUCCUACUUCCCUCUCUCUUUCUCCUUCUCUCUCUCUCUCACUCUCUUUCUUUCCUUCGGUGUCUCUCCUGAAGGCUUAUAUGCUUUUGUGCCAAUAUUCUUCUGUCCUACAUUUUCUUGGUCUGCCGCUUAACUGAAGUCAUACAACUGCCCUUCACCAUCAUUCUUGGAAUAUUUCACCCCCUUCUGUGUUGCAUUAUCUGUUUUUCUUGAUCCCUUCUCCUCUUCUUUCUCAGCUUAGUCCCUUAAAUUGGUGGAGCACAUCCUCAGGGCUUCUUAAGAAAUGGUGCACAGGAGACUGUUUUUAUGAAAAUGAUUUUUGAAAAUGUCUUUAUCCUAACAUUUGACUCAUAGUUUGCCAGAUGUAGAAUUAUAGUCAAGAAAACAUAUUCUGUCCAAAUUGUAAAGGCAUUUCUUCACCAUCCUGUGGCUUUCAUACUGCUAAGUCCAGUGACAUUUGGAUCUCCUACUCUACGUGUGUAACCUGUUUUUUCCCUCUGAGAGCUUUUCACAUCUUCUUUUAUCCCUAAAAUUUCUUGAUGAUAUGCUUUAAUAUAGCCCUUUUCCAUUCACUAUGUCUGGUACUAUGACUUUUUUUUUUUUAAUUUGGAACUGUGUCCUUAAGAUAUGUUCUUGUAUUAUUUUUUGAUCAUUUCUACCUUUCCUUUUCUCUUUUUUUUAACUUUCUGGAACUUUUAUUCAUCAUGUAUCAGACCUCCUGGAUUGUUCUCUAAUUUUCGUAUCUUUUCAAUUUUCCAUAUCUCGGUCCUUCCGUUCUACAUUCCGUGAGAUCUUCUUAACUUUAUGCUCCAACUCUAAAAUUAAACAUUUUAUUUUAUUUAUCACAUUUUUAAUUUCCAUAAGUUCUUCCUUGUUCUCUGAUUUACCCUUUUUCGAUCUAAAGCUAUUAAUUAUCAUUUUAAAACUAAGUUUUCUUGUACUCCCUGCUUUGUCUCUGUUUCUCCUAAGCACCAUUUUUCCGUAUGCUCAUUUUAUUUUUCUUUCUUUCACAUUGAAAGCUUUUCUCACACGUUUGUUUAUUUAAAGGGUGAGGCACGGUAAAGCUAACUAGUUGCUCUGUGCGCUUAGAUAGGGCUUGUCAAAUGCGGAGCCUCACUGUAGGGGGAUUGAGCUAGAACCCAGCCACUUCACUGGGCCAGCGUCUACAGAUUUUCCCCCCAGGGCCAGUCAGAAAAGACUCCAUCAACCUCGUUACAGAGAGUUGUAAAUCUAGAGGCCGGCUUUCAGGAGCUGAGCAGAGGAAGGGGAUCGGCAGGUGGCGGUGAUGGCGAGGGGUAUCUCAGUAAAUACUUUGUAGACUUUCACUUAAGUUCCCUGUUUUGUAUGGCUCCUCAGCCCACCCUCAGCCAGGGCUGGGCUGCAGGAUUCCAGAGCUUUGUGGCUUCACCUCUCCCGACUCCUUCCAGUCUGGGGUUGUGUAUCUGGUCCACCUCUUCAUGAAACAGAACUUUAGCCAAUUUUCCUUUUGUGUGCACCCCACACCUCCCACCCUGGCAUUCAGAGGUGCUUCUGACUCCUGAGAUUGUACAGCAUCCUUUAACUUGACCCAUCUUGCUUUAUUUCUGGCUUCCCCCACUGCUGGAUUAGAUUUAGCUUUCCCUAAACAGCUCAGUCGUUCACCACUCAGACAUCUGAUUUUCAUCUUCCAGAAUUUUGUUGACACCCUGGAUGGCUAUUUCCAUCCCCCACCCUCUUUGUUUUUGGAUGCUUAUGUCAUUUUUAUUACUUCAUUGUCACUAUACCAGGGAGUUGGAAAAUCCAAGACAAAUGUGGAUGUUCAGUCUACCAGAGGCUUCCUUGGCGACUUUCAACACCUUUCUGUCUGAAUAUCAAAUACUGUCCAAUAUUGAAAUUUAUAUGUUACAGCAUAUUUCACAUUAUUGCUUCUAACAUUUUGGGCUUUAAUAGAGUAGAUUUCAUGAAUGCUAAAGUGCUCUCUUGACAUAAAAUGUACAUGUCAAAUACAUGUGUUCAGAAAGACAGCAGUGUCAACAUGACUAUCAUGCUAUUUUAGAAUAAGAUCUGGUGGUUAUAACCAUUGAGUAGUUUUUAGAAUCUUGAAAAUAUUGACUGACUUCAAGGACUAUAGAAACAAUUUAAGUUCCAUGACCCUGACUAAGCCAAUAGCAUCUGGCAACUCAGAUGCAAGGUAAAAUAUUGACAGAACCCUCAUCACUGACGUAAUCCAGGGCCUCCCAGCUGAGGGGAAACCCGUGGGCAGAAGCACUACCAAAUUCCAGGUAAUAAAUGAAAUGUUCCAAUUCAUGUUCCAAUUCAUGGGCAUAAUAGGUCAUUUCCAUCCACAUACUGGCAUAUUUUGAAAAUCCUGAUUGAUAUUCUGUCCGAGUCUUAGAAAUAUGAGGCUAAGAGUAAACAGCAGAAAAAGAAAAGUUUUAGGAAAGGAAUUCAUUUUAUAAUAGUACUGUGGAAGAAAGAGGUUUUAAUUAGCCCCCUAUGAGAAUACUCUUUAAAGGUUUUGUGGGAUGAGAAUAUUCUUAUUUACUGAGGGAGCUUACAACCCGUCAGACAGUGGUUCUGAAACUUUUGUGGGCCUAAGAAUCACCUGGAGGAAUCGUUCAAGAUACAGGGGAUCAGAUUCCACUGCCAAAGAUGCACAAUCAGUAGGUCUACGACGAGGCUUGGGAAGGUGGAUGUUAAUAAGCAAUCCACCACCAUUUUCUAUUGGAGAAAUAGUACAUAAGACAACUGGAACUACAGUUAAAGCAACCUAUGUUUAUUUCAUUGUUCAGUAUUUGCAUGUGCUUAAAUUGUCCGUGGAACUAUAAAUUCUUCAAGGUCUCCGACUUGUAUCGUUUGAAGUAAGAUGGAAAAGUUAGGGUACUCUGCGCUUCCUGGAUUUCUUUUUCUUUUUUAGGAUAGAGUGAUUUUUUUUUUUUUUUUUUUGCGGUACACGGGCCUCUCACUGUUGUGGCCUCUCCCGUUGCAGAGCACAGGCUCCGGACGUGCAGGCUCAGCGGCCAUGGCUGUGAAAAAAAUAUAUAUAUAUCAUCUGCAGUGUCUGGCAGUCUCGUUGGGGAGAUGAGAAGGCUUAUGAAACAAGUAAAUACAAGGCAACAAGUGGUUAAGUGCCAUCUUACUAAAUUCUACAUUAAAGCUCAUGGGCAGAGACAGGCGAGGGUCAGGACUGCCGGGACUGGAAAGGAGAAGCCUCCAAGGGGGAGGUAAGCCUUGAGGCAGACCAAGAAUAAGUAGGAGUUGGAUGCGUGGAAGGUGGUGGAAAGACAUUCUGGCGCAGGCAAGGGGUUGUUCCUUGAGAGAUGAUACAGAUUCUGGCCAGUCUGGAGGGAAGGUUACCCUUGGAGAAUAGUGAAGCGAAAGGCAUGGGUGAACAGCUAGUGGACCUACUAUUUGAAGUAGGAGACAGUAAGAAUCUCGAUCUGGAUGUGGCAUUUAAAUUUGAAGGAAAAACAGACACAGCAGCAUUUAGAGGAAAGGAAUAACAGAACUUGGUGAUUGAAUAUAUGAUGAGAUGAAAGGGAAAUGAAUCAAAUAUUUAUGACCAUAAGGUUAAAUAUUAGGGUAGUAUAAUAGUUUCUGAAAGAUGAUAAGUGUGUCAUAUAUACAUCGAAAUAUCAAAACUUAUUUGUAUUUAAAAGCAACUCAAACAGUUGUUAUUAUUUAUCUUAUUCUGCUGAUUUGUUUCUCUCAUUGGCCAAGGUACAGGUUCCAUGCUCUGCAACAGGGUGAAGCUAGCACGUAGCACGUUUUUAAAAGUUUGUGUUAAAUUGAGCCACAAAUAGCUUCUCCUGUGUUUUGUAGUUGGGCUUUUUGUUUUUACAAGGGUUUAGUUUUCAAUAAAUUCCUAUUAUUAUGAAAAUAGUUGUUUUCAUUAGAGUAGUAAUAGACUAUUAUAUGUUCCUUUUGCUUAAUAUUUCUAUCAUAAGGAUUUACUUGGUCACAUCUUACCUAUUACUCCAAAGUCCUGUCUAAAGAUAGCCAAUCGUGCGAGAAUAUCAGAGGCGCAGGAUUCCAAGCUUUCAAACAUAGUACGUCAUCACUCAUUAACUACUCAUGGCAACUCUGGACUUUUCUUUGAAAAACAAAAUGCUGUUUUCCUAUACAACGAUAGUCUAUUAUAUCUUGGUUUCUGAGCAAGUUUCUAUGGAAUUCAUCUGUUUUAUGAUACCAAAUGGUUUGCCUCUGACCCAGUGCGUAAAGAAUCAAAAUACCUUUCCUGAGUUAGUUACAUUUCUAAUACAUUGUCAUGAUUAGUUAAUAUGAUUCAUGAGCUUAUGCAGCUUAUCUAUACAUUUUCAUUUACUAAAGAGUAAGUAUUGACUCCAUAUAGUAUCCAAACUGAUAACUCUCAUGUAUUAAUAUUAUGAUUUCCUAGAAGACGUUUUAUCAACAUACCUGCAUUCCCUAAUUGCUUUUGCAUCCGACACAUUUGAAAGUGUGUUUGGGCUUCUUUUCUGCACUGGACUCCAGCCAGUUCAUACAAAGGACUUUAAUGAGCUUGCUAGGCCACCAAUGCUUGCAGUGCCAAGCUGAAGGGAGACAGUGGUACAAGGAAAAAGGUCAUCUGUGGGUGGAGACAGCAGUGCACCUGAGGCCACUGCUAGUGUUUCUAGUGCCUGGGUGAGAAUCGGGAAAUGGUCACCCCCUCUGAGAAGAUGGACUGAAGCUGCAGCCCCCUUGCACCCUCCACUGGACACUGUUGUGCUAUUCAUGAAUUGCACAACCACAGGCUGGGGCUCUGGUACACCUGCUCAUUCCCUAAAAGCCGCUAAAGCGCAGAGCAGAGAGUCAGCUUCUCAGGUCCGUGCAGUAAGAAUCCAAGUACCGUGUGCCACGAGGUACCAUGCUGUGCUGUCCCCGAGGGGCCUGGAAUGUGAAACCAUCAGGUUGAAGGGUGACCAAAGGCCCUGGAAUGCAGGGUGGUUCACAUCUGACUGUAGAGCAGCCUUCAGGACAGACAAUGCUAGUUUCAAUAUCACUUCUUACUAAGAUUUUCCUUGCUGUGGCAGAAAAGCCCCGAGAAAAUCAUUUGGCUUCUCAGAGCUGUGACGGGUGUAGGUGUACCAAACUCGAGAGCGGAACUGCCAAUAGAAAUACCGUACAAACCACAAAUACAAACCAUGGAAUUUAAAAAUUUCUAUUGGCCACGUCACAAAAGGCCCAAAGAAACGGAUAAAAUUAAUUUUAAUAUAUAUAUAUAUAUAUGUGUAUUUUUAAAAAAGCAAAUGAAUUGACUAUUUAAGCCAGGCUUUUAUUUUUAUUUUUUGUCCGUGCCACACAGCAUAUGGGAUCUUCGUUCCCCAACCAGGAAUGGAACCCGUGCCCCCUACAGUGGAAGCGGGGAGCUCUAACCACUGGACCGCCAGGGAAUCCCCUUAAUCUAUUUUUAUUUAGCCCAAUAUAUGAAAAUAUGAUGUCGAAGAAUAUAAAAAUUGUUAAUGAGAUACUUGACAUUGUUUUCUUCAUACCAAGUCUUUGACAUCGGGUGUGUCUUUUACACUUACAGCACAACUCAGUUUGCAGAGGCCACGUUUUGGGUGUUCAAUAGCCACACGUGGCUAGUGGCCAGGUGUUGGACAGGGCAGGUCUGAAACAACAAUAGCAAAAGUCUGCUGUGUGAUCAGAAAGGCGAUCGGCAGGACCAGAGGUGAAGCAGGAUGAAAAUGUUUUGGCUGUUUCAGAGCCGCUGAUUCUUUAUGUCAACUCUUAACAGCUCUGUGACCCUAAACUGGACAGCAUAGACUGGACAGAAUAGACUGGUGCCUCCCAUUGCCCUCCCGACAUCCCGAGAGCCACACACAGCAGGCUCUGUGUCCUUGUCAUUCGAAUUCACCUGCUCUGCGGGCCCACGGCCUUCGUUUGUUACCCGGGGCUUCCGUUAUUCAUUCAAACCCUAUUGUCAACAUAUAACAUUUGCGAGCAGCAGCCUUGGGGCCAUAUAAACAUCCUGCGGUGGGUCAGGAGCGCCUGACCUCCUAUUAACAUGUCAAUGAGAGUGGCUGGUGCUCUGGGCUUGUUUUCUAGGGUUUUGAUGAGCUUCAUUAAUUAUGUUGAGAAAAAAAGGUGUGCAGCUGGAGAAGAACCCACUUAGCUCCACGCAAAUGUGAAUAAUUGGACAGUUGACAGAGUGUUAAAUUGGCGGUCUAGUGAGAGAAACUCGUGAAUAACCACAAUUCCCCCGAAUGCCACAAAGCAGGUACAGUUCUCUCGCCAGCCACCUGCACCUUCUCUGGACUUGAGAACCGGCCAGGUGUGAGCUCACGUGAGAUCAGUUAGGGCGCUGCCCUGGCAGGUCAAGAGGAGACGCAAGAGGGAAGAGAUAUGGGGACAUAUGUUUAUGUAUAACUGAUUCACUUUUUUAUAAAGCAGAAACUAACACACCAUUGUAAAGCAAUUAUACCCCAAUAAAGAUGUUAAAAAAAAAAGAAAAAGAGAGUGGACUCUGGAGCUAGGAGGGAUAUUCACAUCCUGCUCACCUCUUCGUUACCUGUAGGAUCUUGGGCAGAUUACAGAAGCUCUCUCUGAGCUUUAGUUUUUCCAUCUAGAAAAUGGGGACUAUAAUAAUAGGAUUGUUAUGCCGAUUCUAUGUCUUAAUUUAUGUAUAGCAUUUAGAAUAGUAUCAGACCCAUAAUAUGUACUAUAUGCAUUUUCUUUAAUGUAAAACAUUAAUCAUAUCAUAAGCUUUUCAUACCUUUUUAAUCCUCUAGGAGAGUAUAACUGUGUUUCAGUUUUCCUCUAACUUCAUUCAUUCAUUCAUUCAUUCAGUAGGCAUUGAUUAUAUACCUGAAAUGUCUAGGUAUUGGGCAUACAAAGAUGGAAAGAUUCUGGGAGAAACAUAUUAUCAUAUAUGUGAAAAUUAUGUGGACAGGGACUGCAAACAAAACGGCAAAAGUGUAUUAAUAUUCUCUUUUAAAAACCCACUAUUAGCAAGUUUUAAGUGCUGAUAAAAAGAGUUUUCUUUCAUCCUGGCCACAACAAGAUUGUUCCUCCUGCAAUUACCUCUGUUUGAAAUUAAAAUUACUUGUCAUAUUUUAACAUAAAAUAUGAAUAUGUAUACUUUUUGUUCAUUUCUGUUAAAUGAGCAAAAACUCCUCAACAGAAAAUCUAGCUACUUCCCCAUCCCUUACCUUAGAAGUCUCUUAGACUAUUUGAGGCCUGAUUAUUUCUAGAAUCUUACUGUAUGGCAAAAAUCAUUUGUCUUUGUCAAAAUCAGAAGCUUAAAAGGAGAUGGGAUUUAAUUCAAAUGAACACUUACAACAUCUAACCUUCUUGUGUAUUAGGAGCAGGUAAACAAGUAUUCCCCAAAUAAUGAAAACUAUUAUUACUUUAAAACUGCUUUUUUCUUUCUCUUUUUCUCUCUCUCUCUGGGGAGUUGGUUAGAGUAAAACAGGCAUUUUAGUAAAACUUAAGUUUAAAACUUAACUCCAAAAUAAAUAAGAGCUCUAUUGGAAAUUUUACUAUAUUAGUUCUCUAUCUAUAUGUAACACAUUACACCAGCAAUUCAGCAGCUUAAAAGAACAAGCAGUUCUGAGGAAAUCCAGGAGCAGCUGAGCUGGGUGGCUGUGGCUCAAGAUCUCUUAUAAGGUCGCAGUCCCAUUGUCAGCUGGACCGCAGUCAUCUGAAGGCUGGACGAGGGCUGGAGGAUCUGCCCCCCGGGGACUCCCUCCCAUGGCAGCUGACCGGAGGCCUCAGUUCCUCACUACAUGGAUCUCUCCGCAGGGCUGCUUGAGUGUUCUCAUAACAUGGCAGCUGGCUUCCCCAGAGUGAGUGAUUCAGGAAAAAGCAAGGAGGAAGUCACCAUACAUUGUAUGACAUCGCGUUGAAGUCACAGACCUUUGCCUCUUCAUUAUUCUCUUUCUUUGAGGCAGGUCAGUAAGUCCAGUCACCUUCUAGAGGAGGGGAAUUAGUUCUACCCUCUGAAUGGAGUGUCACAAAUUUGUGGACAUAUUUGUGGACACCAUAAUUACCAUGAAAGGCUUUUGACAUUUCAUAAGCAACAUUUCCUGAGGACCAAUUGCACACGAACGAAGCUAUAUUCCCGUUACUGUGAGCAUCACAAAGGAUGUAAAAGGCACGGUUCCUGCCCUUAAGAAGUUUAUCCUCUAGUAAAAGCUGGAUUUAAAAAAAAAAAAAUUUAAGUAAUAACAGCAUACAGAUUCCUAUUUAUAUUCAAUAGAGUGACAUGUUGUCCAAGUUACAGUGAUGAAAUUCAAAGGUUAUUCUUUUGUAUACCUUUUAAUAGAGAAAACUAGCUGUCUUUUGGAUUAAGUAAAUGCAUGUACAUUGAUGAGAAAUACUGCUACAAGAAAGUCAUUCAGUGGGGUUGACUUCCUAGUAUUGUAAAUACAUUCCACCCAAUCUGAUGAAAAAUGUGUUUUUGAAACCAAAAUAAAGCAAGCAUUUAUGAAUAAUCUGUACACCCUAUUAAUGUAAUAUAUAAUUAGCUACAACUAGUAGCUGAAAUAUAAGCAGAAGGAUAACUUGUUCAUGUUCUAGUUUUUCUUUUGUUUUGAAAGACAUCAGCUGUGUGCUUUGAUGUACUUCUUUUUUUUUUUUGGUACGCGGGCCUCACACUGUUGUGGCUUCUCCCGUUGCGGAGCACAGGCUCCACACGCGCAGGCUCAGUGGCCAUGGCUCACGGGCCCAGCCGCUCCACGGCAUGUGGGAUCCUCCUGGACCGGGGCACAAACCCGUGUCCCCUGCAUCAGCAGGCGGAUUCUCAACCACUGCACCACCAGGGAAGCCCGAAAAUUUGUAUUUUUAAAGGCUUUUGUCUUACAUAUACUAAAUUACUAUAGAAACAAGAAUUGGAAAGUAUCAAUCAGGCUCUUCAAUCUGUCUUCACUUUGCCAUGUUUCCCACACCAACAUGGGAUUGAAAUACAGUCAUCCCUUGGUAUCCAAGGGGAAUGUUUCCAGUACCCCCCAUGGAUACCAAAAUCUGAGGAUGUCUCAAGUUCCUUACAUAAAAUGGCAUAGUAUCUGUAUGUAACCUACCCACAUCCUCUCUUACACUUUAAAUCAACUCUGGGUUACUUAUAAUACCUACUACAAUGUAAAUGCUAUGUAAAUAGUUGCUGCGUGGCAAAUUCUUUUGCUUUGGGGAACUUUCUGGAAUUUCUUUUCAAGUAUUUUUGAUCCACAGUUGGUUGACUCCGCAGAUGUGGAACCAACCCACAGAUACACUGUAAUUAGUUCUAACAGUGACAUGUACAGAAAGACCAUAGCACAGUUCAGUGUGCCCCACCCAUUUCUGUGACUCUCUCAGGAUCACACAAGAUUAUUUUAAGUAAUAAAAUGUCAACAGUAAUAAAUAUAAUUAGGAAGGAAAUUUGGAUAAACCUAUGCACAGGAAAAGACUUAUUUUAGAAUCUUUUCCUCUGAACUUUUUUUUUUUUUUUGGUCAGGAUUGAGUUUCUUUUUAAUACCAGUGCUAUCACUCAAGGAGAAGGAGAAUUUAUUUGUAUCCUUUAUCCUGUUUUGAUUUUGAGGGAGAAAUCUUACAAAUUCCUUAUCCGAUUUCCUUAGACAUGAAGUCAAAAAACCAAAAUACUACCUUUUUUUUUUUUAGUGAAUACAAUGUUUCAAGCAUUGUUCUACACAGCCUACCUAUGUGUCUUCCUUUAAUCUUCAGGAAGCUUGUCAUAACCGUAUUAUUAUCUCCAUUUACAUGUGAGAAGACUGAGGCUUAGAAAGGUCAAGUGGUUUUUUUUUCUAAGGGCGUGUAGCUAGUCAAGGGGAGAGUGGAGAUUUGAACUCAGAUCUCUUUGAAUUCAGGGCCCAGGCUUUGCUUAACUACUGUGCAAAACUGCCUUCCAGUUAAACCUGAAUUUCAAUAUUAUUUUCUCUCAAAGAGCUAACAGCACUUUCACAUAUUAAUCUACUCUGCUCAUAUCAAGCUGAGUAGCUAAGUGGAAUGAAUUCAUAAUAUCGGAUGAAUCUUGAAUGAUCCUAUAGCCAACCUUCCGUCUAUAUCCAGUAUCAACAGUACUGUCUCUGAGGUCCUUAUAAAUGUGGAGGGUAGUAUUCCUUGAAAUUUGAAGAGGGACCAUUACAGCUGCUCCACUGAGGGCCCAGCCACCGUUUUCCUAAAGAGCCCUAAGUACCAUCAUGUAUGAGAAACAGUGUCCAAAAUUCUGGUUAAAAAGUAUUAUGGUAUAUUGAAACCAGGAACCAGUUUUUUGGUAUAAGAGUCAUGGGGACUCUUAUACAUGAUUUUUGUGUAAGAGUCACGGGGAGGCCAGGCCAUCCCCACAGGGGGCUGUGAAAGGCAGUGAGGAACAGUGGGCCCAGGAAGUGGACGGACCUUAGUUUGAACACUGGCCCCUUCGCUUACCAGCUGUGGGGUCUUCCUCAAGGUAUCAUGUAUAUUUGAAUUUCAUAUAUAUUUCUUAACUUCAGUUUUCCCAUCUGUGAAGUGGGGAUAAUAAUAAUCUACCCAAGGUUAAUUUAUUUUUUAUUAUCAUUAUUUUAGGUAGGGCAUCAGAGAGAGACAGACAGUUUUCAUGAAAAGCUUCCUAAUUUGGAAUCCAGCAGAUCCUGAUUCAGACCUCACAUUGGAUGUUUAAUAACUGUGUGUCUGGGGCAGGUCUCUUCAGUUUCUUCAUCUGCAAAAUGAGAUGAUAAUGCCUACCUUGCAGGGAAAAUUAACUAUGGUGAAUGUCAAAUGUUUGGCGUGGAGCAGAGGCUCAGCAGAUGUUGGCUCUGAUUAGUGUUUUCUGCGUACCAAAGCUGCUGAACUAUUUCCCUAGAAGCUUAGACCAACUUCCUGAGUACCUUCCAGGCUCAUGGAUUUUAACUUUUUUUUUUCUUUUUUAAGUAGCACAUACAAUGAAAGCUACAGCAGUAUCACCAGAAAAAUACACAUUCCCCAAACAAAUGUGGAUACAAUUACAGGGGAUUCAUAGGCACUCACCCGCCGCCCCCAGAAUAAGAUUCCCCAGUUCAGACCCAAGAGUUUAAAAAUGUAUGACAAUCCAAAUGGAAUAGCGAUCGCUUAGUAUCCUAGUAUUCCCGUCGCAACUUUCCCAGUAUCGCUAAAAUGGAAUUGUUUACCAAAAAACUCACUUGAUUCAGAACAUUUCAAGAACACACAUUUCAUUAACGGAGACAAGCUUCUUUUAACAAAACGUAUUUGUCAAAUGCCUAUUAUGUGCCUAAUAAGGUGGUGGGUGUUAUGGGGAACAAAGGCAGCUUAACAUGUGGUCCCCUGCCCUCAGCGUUUCCUUCUAAUUGGAGAGGCAAGUGAACAAGGCCGCGUGAGCUGUAUUAGCGCUAUAUGCUGAUAUAAUCAAGCACUAAAUUGUGUGUGCUUGUGUGGGUGGGCGCACAAGCCUCACAUAUCAUUCUCUGACCUUGAAUUGUACACAAAUCAUUAGCGUCAAACUGGAGUUGCCCACUGCUCCCCCGCCCUGUAUCUUUACUUGGCCGACUUCCAUCACAGCCGCUCCCUCUGUGUCUGAAACACGUUUUAGAAAUGAGGGGAUGAAAUAACACACUGAGGAAGGGAGGAAGAUCCGCAAAGAAAAAAGGGGUCACCUGUCCGUCUGUGGUUACCAUUGCACGCAGCUUCCAUGUUGGAAAGGGGCUGACCCAGGAGGACCCAGGCUUCGUGAAAACCUCUCAGUGGGACACACGACAGCUUCCCUUCCCUGUUUACAAAUGAACUGCAGGGUCUUCUGUCAGGGACUGAAUCUGAAGAGGAGAGGAAUAGUGCAAAGAAGAAGGCCUGUCGGGCAGGAAGGGAAAUAAACACGUUGAGGUUCCAGACUUUGAUAGUCGUCACAGCUGAGAUGGCAUGGGCCUUGGGCAUGGGAGAAGAUCUGCAAGAGAAUUGUUGGGUGACGAGAAAGAGGCCUGCCCCUAACAUUUAUGGGCCCAAGACAAGCAUACAGAGGUAGACCUACAUACCAUAUGCUUCAUAUGUAUUAGUUCUAGCUAACGGUUAAGUAAAAUACGUUCUAUCAUCUGACUUUGACAACUGCAACUUCAUAGCAACUGGGAAGGCCAGGUUUGAAUGCAGAAUCGGUACUGCAGCGUGGGUUCCCUGGACCAUCUAGUUUUCUUCCCUUCCUUGGCUCUGUGCUGUACCAGGGGGGCUUCCCACACUUCUGGGACCUUCUAGCCCACAGCCCCAUGCACACCCGCCUUGUCCACUUUGGGGCCUGGAAGUGCACACAGCUGUGUGUCCACCUUCCAGAGCAAAGAGCUCGGAAAGCAGGCUUGAGGCUCCCUGGGCAGGGUAUGUGGGGAUUCCAGGUAUCCAGAACACAGUCUAGAAGGGAAGACAUGGGCUCCUCUCGCCUUGGCCCUGCUGACUACCUGCCCUGGUAGGGAGGGGUGGCUGGAGGAAGACCUGAUUGGGCCCUCUAAACCUGGGGGUCAGGGCAGGGGCCCCUCAAUGCCUGUGUCAAAGGGCAAAACUGAAGAGAAGGAGGAAGACUUAGGGAGGCAUGUGUUUAAGUCACAGUCAUUAAGGCUGCUCAGUUCAUUCGGGGGCAGGGUGGGUGGUAAGUUGGGAGCAGCCAAACAGCUGGAAGAGAGGUUGAUGGAAAGAAGGGAGAAGGCCAGACCUGGACCACCUCUAACAAAGACAGGGACUCCAUUUAUUAUCGUGUUUAGUUAGAGAAUGAAAAAAUCUUCUUUUCCAGAAGCCAAAGGGCUCUAUAAUUCAGUGACAAGAGAUAUGAAAGGCAAAAAGAAUGAUGGGGGCUUCCCUGGUGGCGCAGUGGUUGAGAGUCCGCCUUCCGAUGCAGGGGACACGGGUUCGUGCCCCGGUCCGAGAGUAUCCCACAUGCCGCGGAGCGGCUGGGCCCGUGAGCCAUGGCCUCUGAGCCUGCGCGUCCGGAGCCUGUGCUCCACAACGGGAGAGGCCACAACAGUGAGAGGCCUGCGUACCGCAAAAAAAAAAAAAAAAAAAAAAAAAAAAAAAAAAGAA
This is a long non-coding RNA of Orcinus orca (killer whale), 18812 nucleotides long. RefSeq lists it as uncharacterized. The record is from RefSeq and is a predicted model, not a curated record. NCBI's taxonomy places the organism in Eukaryota, Metazoa, Chordata, Mammalia, Artiodactyla, Delphinidae. The transcript is spliced from 2 exons.